Molecule: non-coding RNA, 2319 nt
Organism: Marmota flaviventris (yellow-bellied marmot)
Lineage: Eukaryota; Metazoa; Chordata; Mammalia; Rodentia; Sciuridae
Source: RefSeq, a predicted model, not a curated record
UUCUAGGAUAUUGUCUGCUUUUCCACCCCGACUCCAUUCCUUUCCACAAGCCACCCGUCAGCAGCACCCAAGGGAAAGGAACACAAGACCUGCUUCUCGGGGCUCUGAGGGCUUGGAAAAGUCCCUCAACCUCCAUCAGCAUCUUCUGUGGAAACGAGGACGUCACUAUGGAGAGUGGCUGGCAUAAACAGCGCUCAGUAACGUCUGGGGAGAUGGAAUUCACUUCUCCUUCCUUCUAAGAAACAGAGCCUCCAUUUCCUCAUUUAUAAAAUAAGGGAAAUGGUACCUACAGCCCUGGGCUGUGAUGGGAUUGCUCCGCCACACCCGCGUCUGGCACAUGGCCACCACGGCAAGGAGCAGUCGCAGCCUCAGAAGUGAAAUGAAUCCACACACCAACAAGGUAAAAGGGGAAGCCCAUGUGCUCCUCUCGGCCGCUGCAGGAAAAGCCUCUGACGGAAUCAAACACCCAUUCAUGACAAACCUCGGCGAACCCGCAGCAGAAGGGAACCUGCAGGGACAGCCACCUAGCCUGCGGCUAACACACACCCGAGGAGCAGACUGGUGGGGAGCCAGGCGGGGACACCCCUCUCUAUACACCCGGGGUUUCUGCUAUAGGCUCCAGGAGGGAGACCUUAGGGAAGGAAAGCUCGUGGGAAAGACACUCUGGGUGUCUUCCACGGAGGUGGCACAGCUGUCAUCAGGACGCUGCUUUAGAAAGUGAAGGGGGCUGCAGCCCAUUAGAGCCGGGGACAAGUAAAGGUCGUCGGGCUUAUUUCGUGAUUAAGGUUCUGCCUUAAGCUGACAAACCCCCGCGUGUUGGAACUGAAGCUGUCGGAUACCCAGGGGCACCCCGAGCCUAGCUCUCUGGUCCCACAGAUGAGGAAACGGAGGCUCCAGAAGGAGGAGACCACUGGCCUUGCCCAGGAUAACACGCCGCUUUCUACUGAAGACCAGAAGGAGGCGAGUGUUUUAAAAAUGGAACAAACACAAAGAAGUGGUAUAUAAUCUAAAGCUGUCAUUUAUACACAUAACCAGUAAACGGACCCACCUGCAAGGUCACCAAGUAGCCUGCCAGGAUCGGCACCAGGUAGCGCAGAGCCCACGUCCACCCCAGCAGCGCUGUGGCUCCGCCCUACACUGACCACUCACUCAGUGGGUGGAGGGAGCCACAGCUGGCCACAGGACCCCGCGGAGCCAGAGGAGACCCAGAGCAACACCUUCAGAACAAGUGCAAGAUGUGAAGGGACGGCUACGUCUCACCGGCCUUUCUCAAAACAACUGUUCUGCCAACCAAAGGAAGAAACCUGAGGCCCUGCUGACCGCAAGGUCCUCCACCUGACCAGCAGUGGUCCCAGGCCAGCCCUCCCACCAGAGAGCUGAGAGACCCAGCGGGCGCCUUCUAGACCCCGAUGCACUUCAUAAAGGAGAAACCCCUCUUCCAGCCUCCAGAGUCGGGGGCCCCCUUCAAACUUCUCCAUUUCACUUACUUUUAAAAAGCAAAAGUCUGAAAGCAACAUUAAUCAUCAAACAUGUACAAACAAGGACUUCCUACCCUUUUCUAAAGCUUCCACCCACUCAAGCCCGAGGCGGGGGUUUUCCUGGAUUCCCACCCGUUCCUCAGUCCCCACGGCCAAAAGGUCAGGCUUGUUCCUCUGCUGGUCUUUCCAAGCCGUCCCUGCUGACCCUGCCUGGCCUCUGCCUUGUCCGCCUGCCCAUCUCCCCACCCUAACCCUGCGCCAUCUCUGGGGGAUCCUUCUCAUACUGGGACCUUGCCCUGUCCCUGUCCCCGUGGCUCUGAAGGCCCCCUCAGCUCCAACAGGAUGAAGUCUGAGCUCCUCUGCUUAGGAGAACAUGAAUCAAGAAGUCAAUCAGAAGCAGCCAACGCCCUCUGAGAAAAUAAACCGUUUCUCUGACACAGGAAAAGACAAAGGAAAACAAGGAAAAAAUUAAUUUUUAACUGUGAUAGAAAUAAACUUAGUUCCAAAUUCUAAAGGCAGGAUAAUAUUACAAAAAGAAAAGGUGAAAUACAUUGUGUGUCUCCCAUACGCGCGCACACACACACACACAGAGUACACAUACACACAAAGAACACAAAUAUGUGCACAACAAUGGGGCAAGAGUUUGUUUUUUAAUUUUUACCCAUCUAAAUUCCAUUUAGCUCUCUAGUAAAAGACCUUCUUUUUUAAGUGUGUGUGGUGCUAGGGUUUGAACCCAGGACCUUGUGCAUGCAAGGCAAGCACCCUACCAACUGAGCUAUAUCCCCAGCCCUGUAAAAAGUCUUCUUAAUAAACACUGAAUUAAGAAUUUUUAUGAAGUAAA